This 253-nucleotide ribosomal RNA is filed under the name uncultured bacterium. RNAcentral describes it as "partial 16S ribosomal RNA". It matches the Rfam family "Bacterial small subunit ribosomal RNA", at positions 524 to 776 of the family's 1533-position model. The record is from RNAcentral.
UACGUAGGGUGCGAGCGUUGUCCGGAAUUAUUGGGCGUAAAGAGCUCGUAGGCGGUUUGUCGCGUCGAAUGUGAAAACCCGGGGCUCAACCCCGGGCCUGCAUUCGAUACGGGCAGACUAGAGUUCGGUAGGGGAGUCUGGAAUUCCUGGUGUAGCGGUGAAAUGCGCAGAUAUCAGGAGGAACACCGGUGGCGAAGGCGGGUCUCUGGGCCGAUACUGACGCUGAGGAGCGAAAGCGUGGGGAGCGAACAGG